Rattus norvegicus (Norway rat) is the source of this 506-nucleotide long non-coding RNA. RefSeq lists it as uncharacterized. Lineage: Eukaryota; Metazoa; Chordata; Mammalia; Rodentia; Muridae. The record is from RefSeq and is a predicted model, not a curated record.
CCUCAAGCUCCUCCCUCCGGGCUCAGAGCCUAGGCAAGCGGGCCAAAUAGGGGAGACCCCAGACAGCUGGCCAGGAAGACACCAGAGUUAAGAGCCAGUCAGAGGCUCCUAGGAGCAAUCUCCCCUACACAGGAUGAAACGUACUCACAAAUAUCACACAGGAAAUGAUCCAAGCUAAUCUGCUAUCUUGACCCUGGACAAGUCUCUUCUUCUGCAGGAUGGGCACAGAAAGGCAGCAUCCUUUCAUGAGUCCCAUGAGACAACUGUGGAGGACCAAGAGCUAACAUCUUUAUCCAUCUUGAAGCCCGAUCGAUGGCCCGCCUGCCAGCUGGGGAUCUCCUUUGUUGUAUCAGACCACCCUGUCUGUUGCUGAUAACACUCAACUAUCAGUUAUUUGUUUUGCAGUCACAUAAAAUCUGGACGGGGUCACCUGCGAGGCCACUGGAUCAAAGAGUUGUAUUGACUCACCUAUGGCUUCCUAGAGUAAAGCUGUAUCUGUGAUCAGA